Molecule: transfer RNA, 64 nt
Filed under: Caluromys lanatus (western woolly opossum)
Lineage: Eukaryota; Metazoa; Chordata; Mammalia; Didelphimorphia; Didelphidae
Description: tRNA-Lys
Source: RNAcentral
CAUUUUUGAGUAAUAAAUAUGUAUACUAAAUAUAACAGGGAUAUAAUACUCCCCUCAAAACAAA